GAUGAACGCUGGCGGCGUGCCUAAUACAUGCAAGUCGAGCGAACAGACGAGGAGCUUGCUCCUCUGACGUUAGCGGCGGACGGGUGAGUAACACGUGGAUAACCUACCUAUAAGACUGGGAUAACUUCGGGAAACCGGAGCUAAUACCGGAUAAUAUAUUGAACCGCAUGGUUCAAUAGUGAAAGACGGUUUUGCUGUCACUUAUAGAUGGAUCCGCGCCGCAUUAGCUAGUUGGUAAGGUAACGGCUUACCAAGGCAACGAUGCGUAGCCGACCUGAGAGGGUGAUCGGCCACACUGGAACGGGGACACGGUCCAGAGUCCUACGGGAGGCAGCAGUAGGGAAUCUUCCGCAAUGGGCGAAAGCCUGACGGAGCAACGCCGCGUGAGUGAUGAAGGUCUUCGGAUCGUAAAACUCUGUUAUGAGGGAAGAACAAAUGUGUAAGUAACUAUGCACGUCUUGACGGUACCUAAUCAGAAAGCCACGGCUAACUACGUG
This 497-nucleotide ribosomal RNA is filed under the name uncultured bacterium. RNAcentral describes it as "partial 16S ribosomal RNA". It matches the Rfam family "Bacterial small subunit ribosomal RNA", at positions 28 to 507 of the family's 1533-position model. The record is from RNAcentral.